CAGGACGAACGCUGGCGGCGUGCUUAACACAUGCAAGUCGAGCGGAGAAUAUAGCAAUAUAUCCUUAGCGGCGGACGGGUGAGUAACGCGUGGGUAACCUGCCUUUUUACUGGGGGAUAACACUGGGAAACUAGUGCUAAUACCGCAUAAAAUAGUGAAGUGGCAUCACUUUACUAUCAAAAGGAGCAAUCCGGUAAAAGAUGGACCCGCGUCCGAUUAGCUAGUUGGAGGGGUAACGGCCCACCAAGGCGACGAUCGGUAGCCGAACUGAGAGGUUGAUCGGCCACAUUGGGACUGAGACACGGCCCAGACUCCUACGGGAGGCAGCAGUGGGGAAUAUUGCGCAAUGGGGGGAAACCCUGACGCAGCAACGCCGCGUGAAGGAUGAAGGUUUUCGGAUUGUAAACUUCUUUGAUUGGGGACGAUAAUGACGGUACCCAAAAAACAAGCCACGGCUAACUACGUGCCAGCAGCUGC
This 477-nucleotide ribosomal RNA is filed under the name uncultured bacterium. Its description in RNAcentral is "bacterial SSU rRNA". It matches the Rfam family "Bacterial small subunit ribosomal RNA", at positions 25 to 518 of the family's 1533-position model. The record is from RNAcentral.